UGGUUGGAAAAGAAAUAAUCUGUCUUAAUUGAAAAUAUUGAAUUUAACUUUUAAGUGAAAAGGCUUAAAUAAUUUGGGGGGACGAUAAGACCCUAUAAAACUUUAUAUUUAGGGGUAAUAGUUAAUUUUGUUUUAUUUUAUUAUUUAAAAGUAUUUGGUUGGGGCGACGGGGAUAUAAUAUAUAAUAACUGUUCUUAUUUAUAACAAUGCUAUUUGGUUUUAUGGUCCUGAUAAUGGAUUAAAGAUUAAGUUACUUUAGGGAUAACAGCGUAAUUUUUUUUAAGAGUUCUUAUCGACAAAAAAGUUUGCGACCUCGCAUGUUGAAUUAAU
This 330-nucleotide ribosomal RNA is filed under the name Cambarellus montezumae. RNAcentral's name for it is "partial 16S ribosomal RNA". The record is from RNAcentral. Lineage: Eukaryota; Metazoa; Arthropoda; Malacostraca; Decapoda; Cambaridae.